AACAUGAGAGUUUGAUUCUGGCUCAGAACGAACGCUGGCGGCAUGCCUAACACAUGCAAGUCGAACGAGACCUUCGGGUCUAGUGGCGCACGGGUGCGUAACGCGUGGGAAUCUGCCCUUAGGUUCGGAAUAACUCAGGGAAACUUGAGCUAAUACCGGAUAAUGACGUAAGUCCAAAGAUUUAUCGCCUAAGGAUGAGCCCGCGUAGGAUUAGCUUGUUGGUGGGGUAAAGGCCUACCAAGGCGACGAUCCUUAGCUGGUCUGAGAGGAUGAUCAGCCACACUGGGACUGAGACACGGCCCAGACUCCUACGGGAGGCAGCAGUGGGGAAUAUUGGACAAUGGGCGAAAGCCUGAUCCAGCAAUGCCGCGUGAGUGAUGAAGGCCUUAGGGUUGUAAAGCUCUUUU
RNAcentral lists this ribosomal RNA (407 nucleotides) under Alphaproteobacteria bacterium. RNAcentral describes it as "bacterial SSU rRNA". It matches the Rfam family "Bacterial small subunit ribosomal RNA", at positions 1 to 437 of the family's 1533-position model. Lineage: Bacteria; Pseudomonadati; Pseudomonadota; Alphaproteobacteria. The record is from RNAcentral.